CCUGCGGAGGAUCAUUAGUGAAUAUAGGACGUCCAACUUAACUUGGAGUCCGAACUCUCACUUUCUAACCCUGUGCACUUGUUUGGGAUAGUAACUCUCGCAAGAGAGCGAACUCCUAUUCACUUAUAAACACAAAGUCUAUGAAUGUAUUAAAUUUUAUAACAAAAUAAAACUUUCAACAACGGAUCUCUUGGCUCUCGCAUCGAUGAAGAACGCAGCGAAAUGCGAUAAGUAAUGUGAAUUGCAGAAUUCAGUGAAUCAUCGAAUCUUUGAACGCACCUUGCGCUCCAUGGUAUUCCGUGGAGCAUGCCUGUUUGAGUGUCAUGAAUACUCCAACCCUCCUCUUUCUUAAUGAUUGAAGAGGUGUUUGGUUUCUGAGCGCUGCUGGCCUUUACGGUCUAGCUCGUUCGUAAUGCAUUAGCAUCCGCAAUCGAACUUCGGAUUGACUUGGCGUAAUAGACUAUUCGCUGAGGAAUUCUAGUCUUCGGACUAGAGCCGGGUUGGGUUAAAGGAAGCUUCUAAUCAGAAUGUCUACAUUUUAAGAUUAGAUCUCAAAUCAGGUAGGACUACCCGCUGAACUUAAGCAUAUCAAUAAGCGGAGGAA
This 604-nucleotide ribosomal RNA is filed under the name uncultured Sporidiobolales. Its description in RNAcentral is "eukaryotic LSU rRNA". The stretch from base 171 to 324 matches the Rfam family "5.8S ribosomal RNA". The record is from RNAcentral. Lineage: Eukaryota; Fungi; Basidiomycota; Microbotryomycetes; Sporidiobolales.